RNAcentral lists this long non-coding RNA (208 nucleotides) under Lathyrus oleraceus (garden pea). Its description in RNAcentral is "Pisum sativum (pea) long non-coding RNA (PSAT_LNC026980)". Lineage: Eukaryota; Viridiplantae; Streptophyta; Magnoliopsida; Fabales; Fabaceae. The record is from RNAcentral.
UUUUUUCUCUCCUUUUGCAUUUGUUGCUUCACAACACGGUUAUUAUAGCUUGCUCUGAAUUUCAAUCAGAUUUGAAAAGAAUGACGCUGAGUUUAAAUUUGGGUCCUCUUGACACCAAGAAAACCAACGCAUGGCUUCUCCCUCCAUGCUCAUGAAAUCCCAUUGCAAAUGAUCGAGUUUUUGAGUUUCUUGCACCUCAAAAAUCUUU